GCUGUAAGCCGAGUGCAUCUUAGCUGGCCAUGGCGACCCCGGCACAGCGGCUGCACCUUCUCCCUCUGUUGCUGCUGCUUUGUGGUGAGUGUGCCCAAGUAUGCGGUUGCAAUGAGACAGGAAUGCUGGAGAGGUUGCCUCGCUGUGGGAAAGCCUUUGCCGAAAUGAUGCAGAAGGUGGACGUCUGGAAGUGGUGCAACCUGUCGGAGUUCAUCGUGUGAGUGCCCAGCCAUUGUGCCGUGAGCCUGUGCCUGUCCCUGUCGCUUGACCCCUCCCGUACUUCUGCUCACUGUCCUGGACACACUCACCCACAGCCUUCCCAGAGUCCCCAGCUCUGCCUACUGCUCUGGGCCGCGGGGUCUCCUGGCGUCUGUUUGGCGUAGACACAUGUAGCUGUGAGAACAACUGUGGGUAGUGUUUCUGGGUAGUUCAGUGGAAAGGUCUUGGAAACAUGGGGGUCACGUCACAUGCUUCUCAACACUCAUGGAGAUGAAGGGGCCUUUGAGGCAAACGGUUUUUCUGGGGUCUUUAUGACUCUCUGUCCCAGAUGCCCUGAGAACCUGGUCGUCUCCAGGGCUGUAUCAAUAUUGAAGUUCAGAGUGGGCUCU
This 608-nucleotide long non-coding RNA is filed under the name Rattus norvegicus (Norway rat). RNAcentral describes it as "long non-coding RNA NONRATT009461". The record is from RNAcentral. Lineage: Eukaryota; Metazoa; Chordata; Mammalia; Rodentia; Muridae.